UAAAUUAGUCUUGUCUCUGUAUGCACAGUUUGUAUACCCACCUGGAACAUAUUCCAAAGAGUCUGUUACUAAGGAAUGUACUCAGUUCAAGUUUGAACAAUUGAAGUGGAAUAAUCAUAGAUAGAAUAAUUAUCUUAAAGGUCCUGAGAGUUUAAAACAACAAUACUACGAAGAGAGAGCUGGCCCAAGAACAGACUUGAGGAAGAAGGAAAAAUCCACAGCCACUACAGAGAGCCUUUUGUUCACCAGAGUUGACUCAGACAAUUCCAGAAAGGGGCACCUUGCUGAUUAUGGCUGUCCCAGAAGGAAGCAGCCAGGACAUCUCCAUAUGGAGGGAAAGAUGGCUUUUAUGUAGAACCAAAAUGAAAGACUUUGCUUGUAGAGUCAACUGUAAUAAGGAACACAACAGCCAGUACACAUAA
RNAcentral lists this long non-coding RNA (422 nucleotides) under Rattus norvegicus (Norway rat). RNAcentral's name for it is "long non-coding RNA NONRATT032572". Lineage: Eukaryota; Metazoa; Chordata; Mammalia; Rodentia; Muridae. The record is from RNAcentral.